Molecule: ribosomal RNA, 467 nt
Filed under: uncultured bacterium
Lineage: Bacteria
Description: partial 16S ribosomal RNA
Rfam family: Bacterial small subunit ribosomal RNA
Source: RNAcentral
GACGAACGCUGGCGGCGUGCUUAACACAUGCAAGUCGAACGGAAAGGCCCUGCUUUUGUGGGGUGCUCGAGUGGCGAACGGGUGAGUAACACGUGAGUAACCUGCCCUGACUUUGGGAUAACUUCAGGAAACUGGGGCUAAUACCGGAUAGGAGCUCCUGCUGCAUGGUGGGGGUUGGAAAGUUUCGGCGGUUGGGGAUGGACUCGCGGCUUAUCAGCUUGUUGGUGGGGUAGUGGCUUACCACGGCUUUGACGGGUAGCCGGCCUGAGAGGGUGGCCGGGCACAUUGGGACUGAGAUACGGCCCAGACUCCUACGGGAGGCAGCAGUGGGGAAUAUUGCACAAUGGGCGGAAGCCUGAUGCAGCAACGCCGCGUGCGGGAUGACGGCCUUCGGGUUGUAAACCGCUUUCGCCUGUGACGAAGCGUGAGUGACGGUAAUGGGUAAAGAAGCACCGGCUAACUACGUG